RNAcentral lists this ribosomal RNA (453 nucleotides) under Pandalus longirostris. RNAcentral's name for it is "12S ribosomal RNA". The record is from RNAcentral. Lineage: Eukaryota; Metazoa; Arthropoda; Malacostraca; Decapoda; Pandalidae.
AGGUGAAAUUUGGUUACUCAAGUGUAAUUUGGUUUUGUGUAAAAUUAUUUUGAAGCUAUUAAGUUUUAGGUAUAAAACAGGAUUAGAUACCCUGCUAUACUUUAAUUAAAUUAGGUGGUUUGAGUAGUAAAUAGUUAUAUUCUUUAAACUUAAAGAAUUUGGCGGUAUUUUAGUCCUGUUAGAGGAACCUGUUCCGUAAACGAUAUUCCUCGAAUAAUCUUACUCUUUUUUGUAGUUCAGUUUGUAUACCGCCAUUAUUAGAUAGCUUUAUAAAAAUCUGUUUUAAUAGUUUAAAUUAAUAUAUUAGGUCAAGGUGCAGCUUAUAGAAGAGCGGGUAAUGGGUUACACUGUAAUGUGUUAAAACGAAUGAGUAGUGGUAUUUCUACUUGGAAGGUGGAUUUAAUAGUAAGGUUGUUUUAAUACGGCAGCUUGAUAGUGGCUCUAAAGUAUGUA